Molecule: ribosomal RNA, 1471 nt
Filed under: Salmonella enterica
Lineage: Bacteria; Pseudomonadati; Pseudomonadota; Gammaproteobacteria; Enterobacterales; Enterobacteriaceae
Description: partial 23S ribosomal RNA
Rfam family: Bacterial large subunit ribosomal RNA
Source: RNAcentral
GGGUUGUGAGGUUAAGCGACUAAGCGUACACGGUGGAUGCCCUGGCAGUCAGAGGCGAUGAAGGGCGUGCUAAUCUGCGAUAAGCGCCGGUAAGGUGAUAUGAACCGUUAUAACCGGCGAUACCCGAAUGGGGAAACCCAGUGUGACUCGUCACACUAUCAUUAACUGAAUCCAUAGGUUAAUGAGGCGAACCGGGGGAACUGAAACAUCUAAGUACCCCGAGGAAAAGAAAUCAACCGAGAUUCCCCCAGUAGCGGCGAGCGAACGGGGAGGAGCCCAGAGCCUGAAUCAGCAUGUGUGUUAGUGGAAGCGUCUGGAAAGGCGCGCGAUACAGGGUGACAGCCCCGUACACAAAAGCGCAUGUGUUGUGAGCUCGAUGAGUAGGGCGGGACACGUGGUAUCCUGUCUGAAUAUGGGGGGACCAUCCUCCAAGGCUAAAUACUCCUGACUGACCGAUAGUGAACCAGUACCGUGAGGGAAAGGCGAAAAGAACCCCGGCGAGGGGAGUGAAAAAGAACCUGAAACCGUGUACGUACAAGCAGUGGGAGCACCCUUUGGGGUGUGACUGCGUACCUUUUGUAUAAUGGGUCAGCGACUUAUAUUCUGUAGCAAGGUUAACCGGAUAGGGGAGCCGGAGGGAAACCGAGUCUUAAUUGGGCGUUAAGUUGCAGGGUAUAGACCCGAAACCCGGUGAUCUAGCCAUGGGCAGGUUGAAGGUUGGGUAACACUAACUGGAGGACCGAACCGACUAAUGUUGAAAAAUUAGCGGAUGACCUGUGGCUGGGGGUGAAAGGCCAAUCAAACCGGGAGAUAGCUGGUUCUCCCCGAAAGCUAUUUAGGUAGCGCCUCGUGAAUUCAUCUCCGGGGGUAGAGCACUGUUUCGGCUAGGGGGCCAUCCCGGCUUACCAACCCGAUGCAAACUGCGAAUACCGGAGAAUGUUAUCAUGGGAGACACACGGCGGGUGCUAACGUCCGUCGUGAAGAGGGAAACAACCCAGACCGCCAGCUAAGGUCCCAAAGUCAUGGUUAAGUGGGAAACGAUGUGGGAAGGCCCAGACAGCCAGGAUGUUGGCUUAGAAGCAGCCAUCAUUUAAAGAAAGCGUAAUAGCUCACUGGUCGAGUCGGCCUGCGCGGAAGAUGUAACGGGGCUAAACCAUGCACCGAAGCUGCGGCAGCGACGCUGAUGCGUUGUUGGGUAGGGGAGCGUUCUGUAAGCCUGCGAAGGUGGCCUGUGAGGGUUGCUGGAGGUAUCAGAAGUGCGAAUGCUGACAUAAGUAACGAUAAAGCGGGUGAAAAGCCCGCUCGCCGGAAGACCAAGGGUUCCUGUCCAACGUUAAUCGGGGCAGGGUGAGUCGACCCCUAAGGCGAGGCCGAAAGGCGUAGUCGAUGGGAAACGGGUUAAUAUUCCCGUACUUGGUGUUACUGCGAAGGGGGGACGGAGAAGGCUAUGUUGGCCGGGCGACGGUUGUCC